Molecule: ribosomal RNA, 253 nt
Filed under: uncultured prokaryote
Description: partial 16S ribosomal RNA
Rfam family: Bacterial small subunit ribosomal RNA
Source: RNAcentral
ACGUAGGGUGCAAGCGUUGUCCGGAUUUAUUGGGCGUAAAGAGCUCGUAGGCGGUCUGUCGCGUCGGAUGUGAAAUCCCAGGGCUCAACCCUGGGCCUGCAUUCGAUACGGGCAGACUGGAGUAUGGCAGGGGAGACUGGAAUUCCUGGUGUAGCGGUGAAAUGCGCAGAUAUCAGGAGGAACACCGGUGGCGAAGGCGGGUCUCUGGGCCAAAACUGACGCUGAGGAGUAAAAGCAUGGGGAGCGAACAGGA